AUCUAUAUAGUAUAUAAGUAUAUAUGACUUCCAAUCAUAAGGUCUAAAAAUUUAGUAUAGAUA
Molecule: transfer RNA, 63 nt
Filed under: Trichopsidea sp.
Lineage: Eukaryota; Metazoa; Arthropoda; Insecta; Diptera; Nemestrinidae
Description: tRNA-Gly
Source: RNAcentral